RNAcentral lists this long non-coding RNA (278 nucleotides) under Mytilus galloprovincialis (Mediterranean mussel). The record is from RNAcentral. Lineage: Eukaryota; Metazoa; Mollusca; Bivalvia; Mytilida; Mytilidae.
AAAAAAAUACAAUAUAAGCAUAUAUAAUUGCAAAUCAUUCACAUUUAUAAUUACGUAAUUUUGUUCCGUAUUUGACCUUUACUUUUACAUCCUCAUUAUUGGAUACAAUCUACCUGACACAUAUUGCUCGUUUAGAAAAAUCGUGCAUGUGUCUUAGUGUGAUCAAAUAAUCGUAACCUGACAUGAUUGAAGGAUAAUAUAGUUCAUGUGUUAAUCUUUUCGCUUUUGGAUUAUUAUCAAAAGGUAAGAUAUUAUAUGUUUAUUAUUAUCGAAAUAUG